RNAcentral lists this ribosomal RNA (301 nucleotides) under uncultured bacterium. RNAcentral's name for it is "partial 16S ribosomal RNA". It matches the Rfam family "Bacterial small subunit ribosomal RNA", at positions 509 to 809 of the family's 1533-position model. The record is from RNAcentral.
CAGCCGCCGCGGUAAUACAGAGGGUGCGAGCGUUAAUCGGAUUUACUGGGCGUAAAGCGUGCGUAGGCGGCUUCUUAAGUCGGAUGUGAAAUCCCUGAGCUUAACUUAGGAAUUGCAUUCGAUACUGGGAAGCUAGAGUAUGGGAGAGGAUGGUAGAAUUCCAGGUGUAGCGGUGAAAUGCGUGGAGAUCUGGAGGAAUACCGAUGGCGAAGGCAGCCAUCUGGCCUAAUACUGACGCUGAGGUACGAAAGCAUGGGGAGCAAACAGGAUUAGAUACCCCAGUAGUCCCUGUCUCUUAUAA